AGACUGCCGCUGUGGGAGAAGGGAGAUCUGUUUGUGUUUGGGACAACGCAAAUUUUGAUGGCAGCUGCUGACACUAGAUUUGCAAGCUAAUGCACGCGGGCUGUGCUGCUUGUCACAGCUGGUGCAAGGGUUAGUCAUGCCUCAGCUUUGAAGUAAGCAGAGUGUUCAAGGGAAUGGUCUUUACAAGGGCCAUCAGUACCUCCCUCUCCAACAACAAAACCGGAGAUGGAGAAGACAUCUUAUGUUGGAUGGUCCAGCCACUCGUAAGAGAGAGAGUACCCUGUAAUGAACUGGCCUGUAGUUCAUGCAGCCUGCUUUAAGUGCUCCUGAGGAAAGGGAUCUCUUAAAUAUUGAACACAUAGAAUUUGCAGUUGGGUUUUUUGGUUUGUUUGUCUGUUUUUCCUGAAAACAAUAACCAGUGUGUUACCUGCUCCCACGGCACCCUGCUAUGAACGUGGUAAGGAGUGGAAAACAGAGCAUUACUGUGUGAGUCAAGAGAGUACCAUCCAAUUGUCCUAGUUGUGUGAGGAAGCUUAACAAAAAAAUACAACCCAAAACAAUGCCCCAGACCAGAUUCUACCCUUUCUGCAGAGAGUGAGUGAACACAAGCAAGCAGGCAGACUAAUCAAUAAGAGACCAGGAGAAUUCAGGAAGCCAGAUACUGAGAACAGACAUGCUAGACAUGGUCCUGGAAAUUGUAUGUCUGUGAAAUCAGAAGUAUGUCUUCACCACUCUUCCAGCCCACAACAACCUGUUCCUAAGACUGAUCAAUUUAAUAUUUUGGGAGUUAAUUUAUGCUUAGAACUUCAGUAAAGAAAAUUGUGUAGAGAGAUGGAUCCAAAUUGCAAUGAAGUGACCAUUGAAAGACUUGAAAAGACCAAACAAUAACGUACAGGAGAAGAGCAGGACUUCAAGCAACCUCUGUGUGGCCUUGGAUGGAUGCAUCCACCAACAGGCAUGUGAGUUCAUGGAGAAGAUACCGCAUGUUUUGUUAUACUCCAUCUCACAGUGGAUAAACUCAGGCCCAGCAAUCAGCAAAAGGGCCAUGUUAAUCUGAAGUCCACUACUGUGCAAAAAAACUAGCUGGCGUGAGGAGGCUGGCUGCUCCUGGAUGCUGGAGUUUUUGAUCAACAGCAACUUGCAUCUCAUAUGUGAUCAAGAGCUGCUGUGUGGGGGUCAAGCAGGGGGUACAGGUGGCCCCGCGGUACCUGACACGAGGAAGGAUUCCCUCCAGCGCGGCAGCGACAGCGACCGGACCCCAUUGGAGAAGCUCCCGCGGUAACCAGAGUGGCCAGCAACUUUCUGGACAAGGAUCUUCCCACCUGUGUUGUCAAUUAUGCCACUGCAAGGGGAAAACAUGGUGUCUGAAGGUGGAAAUUCCGCCCCCAACCUUAGAAACUGUUCAACAGUGCAAGAGGUAUGAAAUGUUCACUUUUACCUUCAAACCAGGGGGUGUAUUGGAGCUGCAACACUACUGCUGUGCCUGCUGCUCAGAAAUAUUUGUGCUUCUUCCACAUAGAGAAGAGCCAUUUGUUACAAAGUGCUGUCAGGAUCUGUUUGCUCUUCCCACUGAUCUACUGGUCCUGUGUUUAAGGCUGACCUAGUUGUAUGCAAGAACAAGCUACUGUCUUCGUUAAAAUUCCUGUAAGCUUGAUUGAACGACUGAAGAUACAGGAGAGGUACUCAGAGGAGUUUUCAGGCCAACUAUGUGACAGAAAUACAAAUAUGAGGCAAACCUCCCACUUGCUUGACUUUUUCUUUUCUAAUGACAAUGUUUUCUUUGAGUUCCAGUAUGUGUUAUCUGCAAAAACCUAAGCCUGAUUCUGACCUCUGCAUGGGGUAAACAGUAUUGCUGGAAGCUGUAGAAAACCUGGCAGGCUCCAUGUGCGGUGCACAUUCAAUGGUAUUUGACACAUGAUGUAACAUGUAUCUCAAGACAAACAGAAAACCUUGAGUGCAUGCAACCUGCUGUGGCGUCAUUAGGAAAGCAGCAAACACGAGUUGCCUGUGAAACUAGAGGGGUGGUAGGACUGGCAGGAAUGACACUGUGCAGGAAAACAAGACAUGGGCAGCAAACAGUGAAGAAUAUAUUAGAGCUGUAGCUUUCUCUGAUGAUUGCAAGAAGCUGCUGGUAAAACAACUGUAGGGAAAGGAAGGCCACUGUCUGCAGAAAUGCAACAUGUAAGCUAACAAAGCCAAACCCAGCUGGCAAAUGGGGAAACUGAAACCCUCACAGCAACAAUACAAGCAGCCAGCACUGGGCCUAUGGGGAAGUCACAAUCGCCAUCAGUAUUUUGUAACUUCCCUUUGGGUUAAGCUCUGCAUGCAGAGACACACAAUUUCCAUUGUGCACAGCAUCUGAAGGAAGAAUUUGUCAUCUGAAGCCAGUCACCGGGCAGUCAUCUCCCCAGCGAGGGGCUGAGUGGCAGGAGCUGCAGCCAGGAGGUGGCAGCCCUACGCGCAGCGACACGUCAGCCUGUGCACUGCACUGUGUAGAGAGAAGGUGCAAAGUCCCAAAGCCUGAACUAUUCAUUUAACUUCACUCAGGAUCCCAGCUAUUUUACAGAACUGGAAGCACUGCCAUAGCUCAAAUACCUCUGAACAAAGUCAAGUUGUCAGUCAGGCUGUGUAAGUUCUUACUGCAUUUUCAGUUGCCUCUGCAUCCUGUCUGCAAUGAUGGUGUGUUUUGCUUGUGAAGUUAUUCUCCAUUAAAAUUUUAUGCACAUUUUUGCAUGGCUAAUGGAACUCUGCAAAAUUUCUGCUAUAAAAUUUGUAUUAUACAUUUUUCUCA
Molecule: long non-coding RNA, 2791 nt
Organism: Columba livia (rock pigeon)
Lineage: Eukaryota; Metazoa; Chordata; Aves; Columbiformes; Columbidae
Exons: 7
Source: RefSeq, a predicted model, not a curated record